UGAUUUUCGGUGAUUCGAUUAACUUCAGGAGGUGAUUUGUGACUUAAGAGUGCGAUCGAAAUUUAUUUUGGAGGUCCAAUGUAGAAUUAAGCUUGAAUUGGUGAAGUUAGUAUUUUGGCGAAUUCCAGUUGAGGGGUGAGAAUUUGAUCCGAGGGUCGGAAUGGAACUCCGAGAGUUGCUGUAGCUUCGUUAGGUGAUUUUGGAUGUGUGUGCAAAUGUUCAGGUCAUUCAGACGUCGUUUGGUCGGAUUUUUGAUCGAUAGUGCAUUUCGGAAGUUUUUGAAGAACUUACGCUUAAAUUCGAUGUGAUUUGAUGGUUUUAGCGUUGUUUGAUGUGUUUUGAUGGUUAGAACAAGUUUGAAUGAGGCUAUGAGAUAUGUUGGUAUUUUUGGUUGAGGUCCCGGGGGAUUCGAGUGGCUAAACGAGAGUUUUUGAAGUUUGCUUCACGUCUAAUAUUGCUGUCAUCUUGUAUUUCCGCUUCUGCGGAAAUGGACCGCAAAAGCGGUUCCGCAAAAGCGGGUAGAAGUGCGCAGAAGCGAUUUCGUGUGUGGUUGAGG
RNAcentral lists this long non-coding RNA (556 nucleotides) under Nicotiana benthamiana. RNAcentral's name for it is "long non-coding RNA (NBEN_LNC008654)". The record is from RNAcentral. Lineage: Eukaryota; Viridiplantae; Streptophyta; Magnoliopsida; Solanales; Solanaceae.